GACGAACGCUGGCGGCGUGCUUAACACAUGCAAGUCGAACGAAGAGCGAUGGAAGCUUGCUUCUAUCAAUCUUAGUGGCGAACGGGUGAGUAACGCGUAAUCAACCUGCCCUUCAGAGGGGGACAACAGUUGGAAACGACUGCUAAUACCGCAUACGGUCCAAUCUCGGCAUCGAGGAUGGAUGAAAGGUGGCCUCUAUUUAUAAGCUAUCACUGAAGGAGGGGAUUGCGUCUGAUUAGCUAGUUGGAGGGGUAACGGCCCACCAAGGCGAUGAUCAGUAGCCGGUCUGAGAGGAUGAACGGCCACAUUGGGACUGAGACACGGCCCAGACUCCUACGGGAGGCAGCAGUGGGGAAUCUUCCGCAAUGGACGAAAGUCUGACGGAGCAACGCCGCGUGAGUGAGGACGGCCUUCGGGUUGUAAAGCUCUGUUAAUCGGGACGAAAGGUCCUCUUGCGAAUAGUUAGAGGAAUUGACGGUACCGGAAUAGAAAGCCACGGCUAACUACGUG
This 510-nucleotide ribosomal RNA is filed under the name uncultured bacterium. RNAcentral describes it as "partial 16S ribosomal RNA". It matches the Rfam family "Bacterial small subunit ribosomal RNA", at positions 28 to 507 of the family's 1533-position model. The record is from RNAcentral.